Molecule: transfer RNA, 68 nt
Filed under: uncultured Clostridium sp.
Lineage: Bacteria; Bacillati; Bacillota; Clostridia; Eubacteriales; Clostridiaceae
Rfam family: tRNA
About the family: Transfer RNA (tRNA) molecules are approximately 80 nucleotides in length. Their secondary structure includes four short double-helical elements and three loops (D, anti-codon, and T loops). Further hydrogen bonds mediate the characteristic L-shaped molecular structure. tRNAs have two regions of fundamental functional importance: the anti-codon, which is responsible for specific mRNA codon recognition, and the 3' end, to which the tRNAs corresponding amino acid is attached (by aminoacyl-tRNA synthetases). tRNAs cope with the degeneracy of the genetic code in two manners: having more than one tRNA (with a specific anti-codon) for a particular amino acid; and 'wobble' base-pairing, i.e. permitting non-standard base-pairing at the 3rd anti-codon position.
Source: RNAcentral
GGAUGUCGCCAAGCGGUAAGGCACUGGACUCUGACUCCUGUAUCCGUAGGUUCGAAUCCUAUCAUCCC